AUGUCGAGCUCCACUUCAGCCUCCCGCCCCUCGUGGACCCAGUAUGGUCCACUUCCCAUGGAGCGAUGUCAUGACUGCCCACGCAGCAAGCCACUGAUACGGUUGACUUCAAAGGAGGUCAGGAAUGGCAACUAUGGGCGCGAGUUCGUGAAAUGCGAGAGCAAGCCAGAGGGGCAGAUCGUGAAGAAAUGCACACAUUUUGAAUGGAUGGAUGACUAUGUUAAGCGGAUUCAAUUCAAUGGGGCCCCAACCCGGGAGCUCAAUCUGUCGUCAGCACCAACGAAUUAG
Molecule: ribosomal RNA, 288 nt
Filed under: Triticum aestivum (bread wheat)
Lineage: Eukaryota; Viridiplantae; Streptophyta; Magnoliopsida; Poales; Poaceae
Description: partial small subunit ribosomal RNA
Source: RNAcentral